This 1167-nucleotide ribosomal RNA is filed under the name Distoseptispora suoluoensis. RNAcentral's name for it is "LSU rRNA". It matches the Rfam family "Eukaryotic large subunit ribosomal RNA", at positions 76 to 1094 of the family's 3401-position model. The record is from RNAcentral. Lineage: Eukaryota; Fungi; Ascomycota; Sordariomycetes; Distoseptisporaceae.
UGCCCUAGUAACGGCGAGUGAAGCGGCAACAGCUCAGAUUUGAAAUCUGGCCCAUUAGGGUCCGAGUUGUAAUCUGUAGAGGAUGCUUUUGGCGAGGUGCCUUCUAAGUCCCCUAGAACGGGGCGCCACAGAGGGUGAGAGCCCCGUACAGUUGGACACCGAACCUUUGUAAAGCUCCUUCGACGAGUCGAGUAGUUUGGGAAUGCUGCUCAAAAUGGGAGGUAUAUUUCUUCUAAAGCUAAAUACCGGCCAGAGACCGAUAGCGCACAAGUAGAGUGAUCGAAAGAUGAAAAGCACUUUGAAAAGAGGGUUAAAUAGCACGUGAAAUUGUUGAAAGGGAAGCGCUUGUGACCAGACUUGCGCCCGGUGAAUCAUCCAGCGUUCUCGCUGGUGCACUUUGCCGGGCUCAGGCCAGCAUCGGUUCUCCCAGGGGGAUAAAGGUCUCGGGAACGUAGCUCUCUUCGGGGAGUGUUAUAGCCCGUGGCAUAAUACCUUUGGGGGGACCGAGGACCGCGCUCUGCAAGGAUGCUGGCGUAAUGGUCAUCAGCGACCCGUCUUGAAACACGGACCAAGGAGUCAAGCAUUAGGGCGAGUCUUUGGGUGUAAAACCCGCAGGCGCAAUGAAAGUGAACGGAGGUGAGAGCUUCGGCGCAUCAUCGACCGAUCCUGAUGUUCUCGGAUGGAUUUGAGUAAGAGCCUUACCGCUUGGACCCGAAAGAUGGUGAACUAUGCCUGAAUAGGGUGAAGCCAGAGGAAACUCUGGUGGAGGCUCGCAGCGGUUCUGACGUGCAAAUCGAUCGUCAAAUUUGGGCAUGGGGGCGAAAGACUAAUCGAACCAUUAAACGCCUUUUAGUUGCUACUAGGUGGUUGAGAGGCCUGGUCGCGAGACCUGUGGCCUAGUCUCCAGGGGCUGCUGUCCCCGGGGGCGACACUGUCAAAUUGCCGGAGACUGCCUGUAUGAGGCCCAAGCUACCGCGGCCCGCCGAAAGGCAGGGUGCAGCACCGGGUUAACUGCCCUGGGGAUGGUAAUAACGCUUGGAGCUUAGGGUUGAUCCGCAGCCAACUCCCCCCGCCUCGGCGGGUAAGGAGACAGUUCACAGACUAGACGGCAGUGGGUUUAGCUGUAUGCUGAGCUUAAGAUAUAGUCGAAGACCCCUGAGAAAUCAG